RNAcentral lists this microRNA precursor (175 nucleotides) under Helianthus annuus (common sunflower). RNAcentral describes it as "microRNA MIR164". It matches the Rfam family "MIR164 microRNA precursor family". Lineage: Eukaryota; Viridiplantae; Streptophyta; Magnoliopsida; Asterales; Asteraceae. The record is from RNAcentral.
CUGAUCAAGAUGGAGAAGCAGGGUACGUGCAUUACUAACUCAACAUGGGAACCCAGGGUUAGGGUUCGUGAUACCGACAGAACCCUAACCAUGUAGCAUUGGGUUAGGGUUCAUGUUUGUCAAGAAUUACAUGUGUGUUAGUGAUUCAUGUACCCGUCUUCGCCAUCAUGACCAC